GCCGAGGUCCUCUUCUAGGAUUGGUUGUCCACUCAUAACCAUAAGAUAAUUAAAACGGGGGGGGGCAGGGUAAAAAAAAAACCCUUUUAUCAGCCAUAGGUUAAUGCAAGUGUUUAACAGAUGCUUCGCUAUUAAAAUAUUUCCCCCCAAUACUGAAGAAUCUUAAACCAGCAACCCUAACAGAGAUUGCGAAGAUUUUCAAAGUGGGGCACCUCGAUUUCUCGAAUCUGUGGUGUGGCGAAUAUCCGUGUUCCUCCUGCUUAACUAGCCUGUUUGGUCUGAUUCUAUUUAUUCUAAAGACAGAGUUGGAGAUGGGCUACCAUUGGUGUUGAUUGAGAUGACAAGCAGUCACCUGAGCCCAUACAGCUGUGGGAGAAAGUGCUUGCUGCCAAGCUUGAUGACCUAAAUUGAAUACCUGGAACCUACACGACAGAAAGAGAGAGCUGACUGCUGAAAGAUGUCCUCAGAUCUUCACAUGUGCACAGUGGCACCUAUCCAACCAUGCACAUAGUAUAUUAAAAAUUAUUUUUUAAAAAA
RNAcentral lists this long non-coding RNA (537 nucleotides) under Mus musculus (house mouse). RNAcentral's name for it is "Hand2, opposite strand 1". Lineage: Eukaryota; Metazoa; Chordata; Mammalia; Rodentia; Muridae. The record is from RNAcentral.